UGUGAAGGAAAGGUGAAAAGGACCCCGGGAGGGGAGUGAAAGAGAACCUGAAACCUUGUGCCUACAAGCACAUAGAGCCCGUCAAAGGGUGAUAUGGUACUUUUUGUAGAACGGUCCGGCGAGCGAUUGUACGUUGCGAGCUUAAGGUCUUAAGGACUGGAGGCGUAGCGAGAGCGAGUCUAAACAGGGCGUUUAGUAGCGUGCAAUGGGCCCGAAACCGGGUGACCUACCCAUGAUCAGGCUGAAGUGAAAGUAAAAUUUCAUGGAGGGCCGAACCGACCUCCGUUGAAAAGGCGGCGGAUGAAUUGUGGGUAGCGGAGAAAUUCCAAUCGAACUCGGAGAUAGCUGGUUCUCCCCGAAAUAGCUUUAGGGCUAGCCUCAUGUUAGAUAUCCGGAGGUAAAGCACUGAAUGGCCUAGCGUCCGAGAGGAUAGCGAAGCCUAUCAAACUAAGAAUGCCGGAAUAUUGAUGCAUGGGAGUCAGACAGUGUGAGAUAAAUCUCAUUGUCAAAAGGGAAACAGCCCAGAUCUACAGCUAAGGUCCCAAAUUGUAUCUAAGUGGAAAACGAUGUGGAAAUACGCAGACAACCAGGAUGUUGGCUCAGAAGCAGCCACUCAUUUAAAGAGUGCGUAAUAGCUCACUGGUCGAGCGUCUCUGCGCGGAAAAUUUAACGGGGCUAAGAUACAAACCGAAGCUUAGGCUGCACUUUUAGUGCGGGGUAGGGGAGCGUUGUGUAAGCGGAGAAACAGUAGCGGAAGCGGCUGUGGAGUUUACAGAAGUGAGAAUGCCGGAAUGAGUAGCGCGAAUGAUGUGAGAAUCAUCAUGGCCGGAAACCUCAGGUUUUUGGAGGAAGGUUCGUCCGCUCCAAGUUAGGCGGGAGCUAAGGUGAGGCCGAAAGGCGUAGCCGAUGCACAGACGGUAGAGAUUCCGUCCCCACCGAAAGAUUUAAGCGCAGGGACACUUUUAGAAGGUCGGAGCCAGGUGUUGGUUCUGGUAGAGAUCGAGGGAAGAUUAGUACCGAAGUCCGGCUGGAUAAGAGGCGAGAAAAGCUGCGUGUAUAUCUAAGGUGCCCGUACCGCAAACCGACACAGGUAGGUAGGAAGAAGAUUCUAAGGCCAACGGGAGAAGGGUUGUUAAGGAACUCGGCAAGUUGACCCCGUAACUUCGGAAUAAGGGGUGCUCAUGAAAGUGAGCCGCAGAGAAUAGGCCCAGGCAACUGUUUACCAAAAACACAGGUUUGUGCUAAAUCGAAAGAUGACGUAUACGAGCUGACGCCUGCCCGGUGCUGGAAGGUUAAAAGGAGAUGUGCAAGCAUUGAAUUGAAGCCCCAGUGAACGGCGGCCGUAACUAUAACGGUCCUAAGGUAGCGAAAUUCCUUGUCAGGUAAGUUCUGACCCGCAUGAAAGGCGUAAUGAUCUGGGCACUGUCUCAACAGCCCGCCCGGCGAAAUUGUAGUACCGGUGAAGAUGCCGGUUACCCGCGACAAGACGGAAAGACCCCAUGGAGCUUUACUGUAGCCUGAUAUUGGGUUUCGGAAAUCUAUGUACAGGAUAGGCGGGAGACUGGGAAACAUGAGCGUCAGCUUGUGUGGAGUCGAUGUUGGGAUACCGCCCUUAGGUUUCUGGAAUUCUAACCUGCGGCCGUGAAUCCGGUCGGGGGACAUUGUCAGGUGGGCAGUUUGACUGGGGCGGUCGCCUCCGAAAAGGUAACGGAGGCGCUCAAAGGUUAGCUCAGCACGGACGGAAACCGUGCCUCUGAGUGUAAACGCAAAAGCUAGCCUAACUGCGAGGGUGACGGCCCGAGCAGUAACGAAAGUUGGAGUUAGUGAUCCGGCGGUAUGUGAAUGGAAAUGCCGUCGCUCAACGGAUAAAAGCUACCCUGGGGAUAACAGGCUGAUCUCCCCCAAGAGU
RNAcentral lists this ribosomal RNA (1909 nucleotides) under human gut metagenome. RNAcentral's name for it is "bacterial LSU rRNA". It matches the Rfam family "Bacterial large subunit ribosomal RNA", at positions 502 to 2499 of the family's 2925-position model. The record is from RNAcentral.